This 451-nucleotide ribosomal RNA is filed under the name uncultured bacterium. RNAcentral's name for it is "partial 16S ribosomal RNA". It matches the Rfam family "Bacterial small subunit ribosomal RNA", at positions 29 to 523 of the family's 1533-position model. The record is from RNAcentral.
AGCGAACGCUGGCGGCAGGCCUAACACAUGCAAGUCGAGCGGGCACCGCAAGGUGUCAGCGGCAGACGGGAGAGUAACACGUGGGAACGUGCCCUUCGGUCCGGAAUAACUCGGGGAAACCCGUGCUAAUACCGGAUACGCCCUUACGGGGAAAGAUUUAUCGCCGAUGGAGCGGCCCGCGUCUGAUUAGCUAGUUGGUGGGGUAAUGGCUCACCAAGGCGACGAUCAGUAGCUGGUCUGAGAGGAUGAUCAGCCUCACUGGGACUGAGACACGGCCCAGACUCCUACGGGAGGCAGCAGUGGGGAAUAUUGGACAAUGGGCGCAAGCCUGAUCCAGCCAUGCCGCGUGGAUGAUGAAGGCCUUAGGGUUGUAAAGUCCUUUUAACGGGGAAGAUAAUGACGGUACCCGUAGAAUAAGCCCCGGCUAACUUCGUGCCAGCAGCCGCCGCGG